ACACAUGCAAGUCGAGGGGCAGCGGGAUUGAAGCUUGCUUCAAUUGUCGGCGACCGGCGCACGGGUGAGUAACGCGUAUCCAACCUUCCGUACACUCAGGGAUAGCCUUUCGAAAGAAAGAUUAAUACCUGAUGGUAUGAUGAGAUUGCAUGAUAGCAUCAUUAAAGAUUCAUCGGUGUACGAUGGGGAUGCGUUCCAUUAGGUAGUAGGCGGGGUAACGGCCCACCUAGCCUACGAUGGAUAGGGGUUCUGAGAGGAAGGUCCCCCACAUUGGAACUGAGACACGGUCCAAACUCCUACGGGAGGCAGCAGUGAGGAAUAUUGGUCAAUGGACGAGAGUCUGAACCAGCCAAGUAGCGUGAAGGAUGAAGGUCCUACGGAUUGUAAACUUCUUUUAUAAGGGAAUAAAACCUCCCACGUGUGGGAGCUUGUAUGUACCUUAUGAAUAAGCAUCGGCUAACUCCGUGCCAGCAGCCGCGGUAAUACGGAGGAUGCGAGCGUUAUCCGGAUUUAUUGGGUUUAAAGGGAGCGCAGACGGGUCGUUAAGUCAGCUGUGAAAGUUUGGGGCUCAACCUUAAAAUUGCAGUUGAUACUGGCGUCCUUGAGUGCGGUUGAGGUGUGCGGAAUUCGUGGUGUAGCGGUGAAAUGCUUAGAUAUCACGAAGAACUCCGAUUGCGAAGGCAGCACACUAAGCCGUAACUGACGUUCAUGCUCGAAAGUGUGGGUAUCAAACAGGAUUAGAUACCCUGGUAGUCCACACGGUAAACGAUGGAUACUCGCUGUUGGCGAUAUACUGUCAGCGGCUUAGCGAAAGCGUUAAGUAUCCCACCUGGGGAGUACGCCGGCAACGGUGAA
RNAcentral lists this ribosomal RNA (855 nucleotides) under uncultured bacterium. Its description in RNAcentral is "bacterial SSU rRNA". It matches the Rfam family "Bacterial small subunit ribosomal RNA", at positions 51 to 898 of the family's 1533-position model. The record is from RNAcentral.